GAUGAAGAACGCAGUGAAAUGCGAUAAGUAAUGUGAAUUGCAGAAUUCAGUGUAUCAUCGAAUCUUUGAACGCACAUUGCGCCCGCCAGCAUUCUGGCGGGCAUGCCUGUUCGAGCGUCAUUUCAACCCUCGAGCCCCCCCGGGGGCCUCGGUGUUGGGGGACGGCACACCAGCCGCCCCCGAAAUGCAGUGGCGACCCCGCCGCAGCCUCCCCUGCGUAGUAGCACACACCUCGCACCGGAGCGCGGAGGCGGUCACGCCGUAAAACGCCCAACUUUCUUAGAGUUGACCUCGGAUCAGGUAGGAAUACCCGCUGAACUUAAGCAUAUCAAUAAGCGGAGGA
This 343-nucleotide unclassified non-coding RNA is filed under the name soil metagenome. RNAcentral describes it as "partial contains 5.8S ribosomal RNA, internal transcribed spacer 2, and large subunit ribosomal RNA". The stretch from base 1 to 120 matches the Rfam family "5.8S ribosomal RNA", at positions 35 to 154 of the family's 154-position model. The record is from RNAcentral.